GUGCUCGCUUCGGCAGCACAUAUACUAAAAUGAGGAAAGGGGAAGAAAAGA
RNAcentral lists this small nuclear RNA (51 nucleotides) under Cervus elaphus hippelaphus. Lineage: Eukaryota; Metazoa; Chordata; Mammalia; Artiodactyla; Cervidae. The record is from RNAcentral.